CCCGGAGGCGUUGUCGCUGCGCGAGAUGCAGCAGGCACCCGGCCUCCAGGCCUCUCCAGCGACUUCAGCGCAAAGGAGAGCGCGCUGGCACCUCACUGCAGCCCAGGCUCUACCCCAAAGCUGCAGGUAACCUCGGGAAGGUUCCCGGGUUCAGCACCAAACCCGUACUGCUGGUCACCGCCCUUCCCACGGCAGCACGGCCGCCUGCCAGCAGCGGGCACAGCGCGGCCGCCAGCCUGGGGAGCACCCGAGGGGCACGGCCCCAGGCUGGGUGCUGACGUGGCCGUUUCACCGCUAAGAGCCCAGCCUUCAGCCUGCGAGCCUCCCUGCUCAGCUCUGCUCCCCUGCCCACCCUUCCCUCGCGCCUGCCGGUCACCGAGCCCAGCUGCCACACGCCCUGCCCCUGUGCACGGUCACCGCUUUGUCACGGCAUUAACCACGAACCAGGAGCCUGGGUGCAACCCUCAGAUCCUUGCACACGCCAGAUUAAUUAGCGAGAUCAAAUCUGAGCUCAAUUACCAGGCAUGGAGAGCGCUGCUCGUGCCACCUCCCUGCUGCAGGGCACAGCACGGCUCCGCUGCUCCCCGGGGGGGACGGGCACGGCUGAGAGCUCCCCACACCGCAUCCCGCCAGCACAGUGCCUGCCACGUGCCGUCUGUGAGUAUCCAGCGGCCCCAGCACUGUGCCCGGCCUCGCUGUGCAUCCUGCUCGAGGGCAAACAGAAAGGGAUGCCCCUCGCCCCUCCAGGCGCCAGGGGCAGGGCAGCCUGGGGCAGCCCGCGCGACGUACCUUACAGCGUGGAGCUGAGUGUUUCCCUGUUACGAUCAACAACGUGAUAGUGUUACACCACGAUGGGGCCUCAAAGCAACCAAAACCCACGGGAACAAUGGUCUGAGCUCCCAGGCAGUCUGCAUGGUGCCCAUCACAGCAUCGUCCCAGUUCCUCGGACACCCCGCUGCUGCUCCUCACCUUGUAAACAGAAACCCCUUAGGGAGAGCGGCUCUCUGCUAAGCUGACAAAGCCCAAG
Molecule: long non-coding RNA, 1027 nt
Filed under: Cairina moschata (Muscovy duck)
Lineage: Eukaryota; Metazoa; Chordata; Aves; Anseriformes; Anatidae
Description: domestica (muscovy Duck (domestic type)) lncRNA (ENSCMMG00000006831.1)
Source: RNAcentral